AUACGGAGGGUCCAAGCGUUAUCCGGCAUCAUUGGGUUUAAAGGGUCCGCAGGCGGUCAAUUAAGUCAGAGGUGAAAGCCCAUCGCUCAACGAUGGAACUGCCUUUGAUACUGGUUGACUUGAGUUAUACGGAAGUAGAUAGAAUAAGUAGUGUAGCGGUGAAAUGCAUAGAUAUUACUUAGAAUACCGAUUGCGAAGGCAGUCUACUACGUAUAUACUGACGCUGAGGGACGAAAGCGUGGGGAGCGAACAGGAUUAGAAACCCCGGUAGUCC
This 274-nucleotide ribosomal RNA is filed under the name uncultured bacterium. RNAcentral's name for it is "partial 16S ribosomal RNA". It matches the Rfam family "Bacterial small subunit ribosomal RNA", at positions 523 to 796 of the family's 1533-position model. The record is from RNAcentral.